GGAUCUGAAAUGAGUCUGCGAUACAUUAAAAAUAUAAUGAACUCAGCGGAAUUGUACACACUAAAGAACUUUUGCACUAAGUGCCUCGAAGUGCUAUCAUUGUUAACAAGAAAGGAAAAUCCUCUGUCACUGUGGAUAAGUCACUGAAGGUGGUGGAAUCGCACAACUGCACACUCGACAGGUGCCGAUGGUCCGCCCAGCAAACAGACCAGUUCCUUCAGACACCUCCAUGCAGGCUUUCCCUACAUCACCUGAAGAGGUUUACUUCUUGCUUGCACAUUAUUUCUUUCAAUAGGUUUUCACACUUUUGUCUCAGGGAAUUAAGUUCUUUCCGUUGGGACUAAAUUCUAUGCCGGCUAAGAAGAGGAUUGAGGCAUCAGUAU
This is a long non-coding RNA of Prionailurus viverrinus (fishing cat), 383 nucleotides long. RefSeq lists it as uncharacterized. NCBI's taxonomy places the organism in Eukaryota, Metazoa, Chordata, Mammalia, Carnivora, Felidae. The record is from RefSeq and is a predicted model, not a curated record. The transcript has 3 exons.